CACACCGGUCCGGAGUCAGUGGGUUAUCUGUUCAUCCCAUCAGGAAAACUUCCUCGGGAGUAUCCCAUUGGCACAACCUUGACCGUUGU
RNAcentral lists this small RNA (89 nucleotides) under Ancylostoma ceylanicum. RNAcentral describes it as "Nematode sRNA ceN72-3_ceN74-2". It matches the Rfam family "Nematode sRNA ceN72-3_ceN74-2". The record is from Rfam by way of RNAcentral. Lineage: Eukaryota; Metazoa; Nematoda; Chromadorea; Rhabditida; Ancylostomatidae.